Molecule: small nucleolar RNA, 93 nt
Filed under: Ornithorhynchus anatinus (platypus)
Lineage: Eukaryota; Metazoa; Chordata; Mammalia; Monotremata; Ornithorhynchidae
Description: C/D box snoRNA Oa1767
Source: RNAcentral
GUGCGUGAUGACAACUUUGGCCGUAGGAAAGCUUGGGGACCGGUUGGUCUUCACGAAGCUCCCUGUGACGGCACUGUCAUAGUUACCCUGAAU